UACGUAGGGAGCAAGCGUUGUCCGGAAUCAUUGGGCGUAAAGCGCGCGUAGGUGGCUUCGUAAGUCCGUUGUGAAAGUCAAAGGCUCAACCUUUGAAAGCCGAUGGAUACUGUGAAGCUAGAGUACGGAAGAGGCGAGUGGAAUUCCCGGUGUAGCGGUGAAAUGCGCAGAUAUCGGGAGGAACACCUAUGGCGAAGGCAGCUCGCUGGGACGUUACUGACGCUGAGACGCGAAAGCGUGGGGAGCAAACAGG
Molecule: ribosomal RNA, 253 nt
Filed under: uncultured bacterium
Lineage: Bacteria
Description: partial 16S ribosomal RNA
Rfam family: Bacterial small subunit ribosomal RNA
Source: RNAcentral